GACGAACGCUGGCGGCGUGCUUAACACAUGCGAGUCGAACGGAAAGGCCCUGCUUUUGUGGGGUGCUCGAGUGGCGAACGGGUGAGUAACACGUGAGUAACCUGCCCUUGACUUUGGGAUAACUUCAGGAAACUGGGGCUACUCUCGGAUAGGAGCUCCCGCUGCAUGGUGGGGGUUGGAAAGUUUCGGCGGUUGGGGAUGGACUCGCGGCUUAUCAGCUUGUUGGUGGGGUAGUGGCUUACCAAGGAUUUGACGGGUAGCCGGCCUGGGAGGGUGACCGGCCACAUUGGGACUGAGAUAGGGCCCAGACUCCUACGGGAGGCAGCAGUGGGGAAUAUUGCACAAUGGGCGGGAGCCUGAUGCAGCAACGCCGCGUGCGGGAUGACGGCCUUCGGGUUGUAAACCGCUUUCGCCUGUGACGAAGCGUGAGUGACGGUAAUGGGUAAAGAAGCACCGGCUAACUACGUG
RNAcentral lists this ribosomal RNA (468 nucleotides) under uncultured bacterium. Its description in RNAcentral is "partial 16S ribosomal RNA". It matches the Rfam family "Bacterial small subunit ribosomal RNA", at positions 28 to 507 of the family's 1533-position model. The record is from RNAcentral.